Nymphaea colorata (pocket water lily) is the source of this 6506-nucleotide long non-coding RNA. RefSeq lists it as uncharacterized. The record is from RefSeq and is a predicted model, not a curated record. The transcript is spliced from 2 exons. Lineage: Eukaryota; Viridiplantae; Streptophyta; Magnoliopsida; Nymphaeales; Nymphaeaceae.
CUCUCCCCUCUCGCGUGAACCCUUUCUCCUCUUGCGAGAGCUGAGCUAGGGUUUCACAUUGCAGCUUCUUCCUGCCCACCGAUGCCUUCAGCCGCCACCUCCUCCUUCUCUGCCCUCGCUCCUUCUCUGUUGCCACCUUGAGGAAGACAACUUCCCCAAACCAGAAGCUUAAAAAAAAUGGCUUCCUCAGUCUCCGCUUUCGCUGAGACAACGGUGAACCGGCAGACUACAGAGGAACGACAGGAGGAGGUUUCCAAGGCGUAACGCUGUCUUCCCCUUUACCCAAGUCGCCUCCUUGCUUUCAGCAAGAGAUCUGUGCUUCUCGCACGAGGAAGACGACUGUCUUCCAGUCGAUCGGGCGACUGCUACUUUUCAUCGGUAGAGAAGAAAGGCAGACAGGUCGAGUUCAAGAAAGGAUUUUAAGUCCUAACAAAAAACAGUAAUUGUUCCUCCGGAUUUGACAGACGGGAGAAUCCCGGCUCUUUUCUAGUAGCCAUUGGGUUAGUUUCUCAAAAAAGAGCAAAUGUUCUGUGUUCCAUUUCCUCCUUAUUCUUUAUUUAUUUUAUUUUGGCUCUGUUGUAUGUCGAGCAGAGCAGGCUCUGCCUCCUUUGCUACCGUUUGGCAGAGACGCAGGUCAAAAAAAAUUUACUUGAAGUAGUGGAGUUCUUUACGAGGGUGCUGAUCUAGAAAAGUAUUGACAGAGCUGAUGUGCUCAGUCCUGGUCUCAGUCUCUCGCAGACACAGGGAAAAAGAAAGCGACAUAAUAUGUAAAGCAGAGGAUUCCAGACCCAAACAAUACUAUCAUGCUUCAUGCUUGAACUUACUUUUGCCUAGCAUGCUUUAUUUUCAGUAAAUGGAUCACAGCAUGAUACACUCAUGAUGCACAGAUGACACAUGCUUCACAGUAGUAUAAUCUGCACAGGCACAGGCACCAUCGAAAACACUUACUGGUGUUCGAUAGAGAUGGCUCUGAUACCACUGAUGGAUUUAUAGGAGUCGUAGCGGAAGUCGGUGAUGAAGAAUCUCCAACGUCUCCAGUGUGCAGCGAAUAUCCCUGUGAAACCAACAAGACAAAGGAAAGAGAAAGAAGAAGAAAACUGAUUUAGGGGUUUCCUUCCAAGGGGCUCCUCACGGAUGAUGUGUUAGAGAGAUCCUCAAACUCUGGAUAUGCUAGGAAUAUAUAGUCCAGCCCCUUAGGUUUUCCCCAACCCUAGCAGCGACGUAAGUGUGAGAGAUUUUAGGUGAGCAUUAAAGCUCGUAACUGCAAGUGGGCCCCCUUGCAGUUACGAGAUGAAUGGGUAGGGCUCAUGGCCACUACCACUACCCAACAGAUUCUAGUGUCGGGUGCUGCAGCAAAUCCGGGAUUCAACUGGACCAAGCCCUCGUUUAGGCUGUUUUUAUGGCUUUUAGCAUUGUAUUUUAUCUAUUAGCUAGAUUUUACUGUUUUCACCAUAUGGAUUAGGAUUUUGUUUAGUUUUAGUUCAGUUUAUCGCAGGUAUCAUGUGUUUUCUGUAAAAUCCAGCAUGUAGUAGUAACAAAUCGUGCAUACAUCUGCUGUUUGAGCUGGGUUCUUUAUGCAUUUUCACUGGAAUAGCUGUUUUGGAGUAGGAGUCUAGUGUAACUAACUAAUUUCCUUUGAUUUUCUGCAAUUUCUAUUGUUUCCAACCUCUAUUCAUUGUACAUUUAUGCAUAUUAGUGUAGAUUAGACGUUUAGGUGUUGUGUUUGCUUUAGCAGUGUUUUUUUAGUAGAACAUUGGUGCUUUCAUCGGAGUCGGCUUUAGUGUUGGCACAUGAGCUCGCUGCCACGACUUGGCCACAUUCAGUUCUUAAUUUGAUUGUUGUUUCCUCUAAUUGCAGGUAGUGUUAGCUCUUAUUUUGUUUCAAUUUGUGUGUUUUAGUUAGUUUUAGGAUAUUAAUGGCUGCUUGUAGGUGAAUGCUUAGUUUUUUCUUUUAAUUUAAAUUUGGGUUUUGGUAGGUGUUGGCUAGAAUCGCCUAAAAUCAGCUCGUUAGAAUGUGUUGGAGAUGUCCACCAGCUGAUGGCUGGCUGAGUGGUCGAUUUUUUCUGCUCCUAUAUAGAUUUUAUAUUUAUCUUGUUUUUGGCUACUUAGAUUAAGUGCAUUAGUUGUUUAGUAAUGUUGUGUGCUUGACUUUAGUGUUCAGACUGGGUUUCAUGCAGGUUUUCAUGUGCCAGACUGAGUUUUUGUUCUCUUACAAUAAUUUCUGUUAUACUUUAUGGUGGUUCCUGUAAUACCAGUUGGAUUUGGAUGCAUUUGGCAUUGAACCUUGUAAAUUUUAGUUUAACUUGCGGCACGUGGCAUUUUAGUAUAGUGUUUUAAUAUGUGGACUGCGUUAUAGCAUGCUAGAAGCAUAAUUUUGUAUUUCUGUAAUUCUUAGGUUAAUGUGCAUCUAGUUUUAGUUUAAUUUCUGCAAUAACUUCAUAGAUUAGGUGCCCCACAGUUGAUUUUUAGAUUCUUUAUGGGCAGGAGGAUGUUCUUUAUCUUGGUUUAAUAGUUAUCAUUCUUUAUGUGCAGGAGGAUGUUCUUUAUCUAGGUUUAAUAGUCAUCUAGUUACUUUUAUCUCUUAGAGUUCAUAGAUUAGGUGUUAAACAUGUUUAGUAAUUGAUGUUGGUGUGUAAACUGUGUUUUAGUUAGUUAGAAACAUAAGUUUAUGUUUUUCUUUGCCUUUAUCUAAUUUACAUCUUGUUUUUACAACUCACUGUAAUAAAUGCAUAGCCUAGGUGAUUAUCUUGUGGGUUGUGAUGAUUUUAGUUUGUGACUGCAGUAGUUGUAACUUGUAAGUGUAUUAGUGUAGUGUAGCGUAGAUGCACUAGAGGCAGCCAUCUAGUCUGCUCAAGUAACGCAAUUGCUGGCCAGAGACUUUUCUAUAAAACCUUGUUUUCCUUGUUAAAUUUAAUAGCUUUUUAGUUGUUUAAUGUAUUUGCAGCAUGUAAUGUAGAUGUUAGUUAUGUUUUAUACUUUAAGAGUUUGUAUUGUGUUUAUUGAUCGUUACAGGUCUGCCAGUUAGUGUUGGUUCAAUUUACAGUAGUUAACUGUAGUUUCUAGUUUAAAUAUUGUUUUCCUAGUUGUAUUUAAUAAUUAUUGUUCGCUUGGAUUAAUUCUUAAGUAAAUUUUAGUUGUUAAUAUUUAAUUAUAUCUAAUUUAAUAUUGCAAUCUGCUCUUUACUGUUUGCAGGUUCUAUUUAUAGUGUAUUGGUGUUCUACAUGGUUUCUUACUUUAUUUUUACUUUAACUUCCACUAUAGUUUAAAAGGUUAAAUAGUUGUUUUCUCUUUGAAAGAGUUUUUAGACAAAAAAUUAGUUUUUAGUAAUUAGUUUUAGGUAAAUUAAGAUGUGGAUUGCCACUAGUGUUUUAUAUGUUUUAGAGAUAGAAAGUGUGGACUCUGAUAUUAUACCUUGGUAUUUGCUGUUUUUUUUUUUUAUAAUUUAUAGUGCAUUUGGUAGGAGCUUUUUAAUUUUUAAUUAUAUUUAAUUUAAUAUUGCAAACUGCUUCUUUCAGGUUUUCAGGUCCUAUAUAUAGUGUCUGGGUGCUUUAACUUGUUUCUUAUUAUAUUUUUAAUGUAAUUUCUACUAUACUUUUAAAGGUUAACUAGUUAUUUCUUGUUUGAAAUAGUUUUUAGAUGAAAAUUAGUUUAGUAAUUAGUUUUACCUAAAUUAAGGUGUGGACUGCUACAAUUGUUUUCUUGUUCUACAGAGAGAACAUGUGCACUAUGGUGUUAUGCCUCGGUUUCUGUAAUCUCUAGUGUAGUUGGUACCCGUACCGGUGUCCCUGUCGGCAUGUCACUCAAAUAAAGUACCCAUAUGACAUGGGCUCUAUGCCAAAAGUUUCUAUCGGAAUGGAAAUUUGUACAAUGAUCUAAUUAAAUAUCCACAGUUGGUAUGCUUCGGCACCUCAUUUUCAUUAAACGAAAUAUUGCUCAUUUAGUAUAUUAUGUGUCCCAAUUUAUGCAUAAACCAAUAACUAUGUAUAUAUGAUUGUCACCGAAUAUUCGAACAGAGCACGAGAAAAAUGUUAAAAACAGGUCAGCUAUAAAAAAUGUGAAAAAUGAGUGUUAUUCGUGUUUUAUUCCCUGUUUUGUGUUUUUGCUUUUUUUUCACGUUUUCUUUUUUGCUUUUAUUGUGUUUUUCCAUGUUUUUAAUUGCCAAAUUUUAUUUCACAUUUUUUGCAUUAUAUUGUUAAUUUUUAUAUUUUUUAAAAUUUGCCCUGAGAAAAACAACUUUGCCGUUUUGCCGUAUUAUAAUCUGAAGAAAAAACUUGCCGCUUUAUACUGAAAACAAUAUAUGUGAAAAUGGUAAAUAUUAUGCCACAAAGAAGAUAUUGAUUAGAAAUUGGUACAUAUGAGAUCAUCUCGUAAGAGGUCAAGAUGAGUUGAGAAUAACUUUUUAUGUUAUUGUCUAUACCUUGAAGUGAAUCUAGUAUCUUAAACUGGUAUUAAACAAAAAAUUGUUUGCUAAAUCAAUUAAGAAGCUGAAUAUAGACAUAUGAUUACUAUCAGCAACUAGAGCUGCAUGCGCUGAACAUUUAUUGAGCGAAACAAAAGAAUUCAAUUAAGGUGACUAUUCUUAUAUGAUAACUUUACUGAUACAAAUAUCUCUUUGGUACGAUCCAUCUUGUUAAUAUAAUGUAUAGAGAUAUAUCAAUACUUCAUCAAAUAGAAUGUCGAAUGUAAGAAAAUUGAGUGUUACUAUGUUUUAUUGUUUCAUACUGAAAAAUCAAAUGGUUGUUAUAUCCAUUAAAAAAGUCACAAUUUUUGGUAGGUUAGGGUUUAUCGUGUGUGUAGAUAUGUUUGGAAUCACGGUUACACAAUUAUGGACAUUAUUGUUUUGCAUUAUAGUUUGUAACAUUUAUUUAUUUAAAUGAAAUUUGGUCAUGCACUUUAUAUUGAACUCCACACUAACUUGUUACGGGUAUUAUUCUCCCAUGGUAUGUGUUGCAACAAGUCCCUACAUUGAAGACAGGAAUCUGUAUGUCCUUUGCUCUUACUUUUAAAUAUUUCACAAAAAUAACUUUUGGGCAUUUGAUUUUCUCAAAUAUACUAGUAAAAUACUAAUUGACUCAAAAUAUAAUCUUUUAAGCCGAUUUAGGAAAAGAGCCAAAAUUAAUUUUACAUGAUCAUGAAGAAAAAGUUUUAAAUGCGGGUGCUACUAGCCAUGUGAAAUGACAUCUAUAGAUGAAAGAGUUAAGAGUUUGGAACACAUAACCACUUCACACCCUCCUUCAUGUUAACCUAGUUAUUGAUCAGCUCUCAGAUCAGACUAACUAAAAAGAUUAUUUUUGGAUUUACAUUUUUCACCAAAACCAGUUAUUCAGAUUCAGCUCUAUCAGAUAUACAAUUUGAUUCCAAAUGGUUGACAUCUCAAUUAAAUCCAUGGCUAUGCUGGUAAGACUCAAAUAUUCAACAUGUCAUUCAAAGGGAAGCCAUGCAUCAUCAGCAUUGAAUACAUGGAAAACUAUCUAAAAAAUAUUAUUAUAGUUGGGUCAAAUAAGGCAUAAACACUUCCAAUCCAACUAGACAGAAAGAAUCAGGAACUUGCAAGUGAGUUGGCCUUUAGGGGGCGUUUGAUGAACAGGAAAUACACUGUUCAUCGAGAAAUAAAAUUCAAAAAUUUAAAAUUUUUCCACCGUCUCAAACGGAGAAAAAUUUAUUCGACCGUUGAGGUUUCAGAAAAUUUUUUCCGGAAAAAAAUUUCCACCUGGAGAGACGGAAAUUUUUUUUCGGAAAUAAAUUUUUGCCCGUUAGGGCACGCGAGCGCUCCCUCUUCGCGUCUUCCUUCUCUUCCUUCCUAUGCCGCAGCCGCUCCCUCUUCUUUCCCGUCAUCUCACAGGCGCUCCCUCUUCAGCCGCGUCGUCUCACAGCCGCUCCCUCCACUCCACCCGAGCAGUGCAGCCGCGAGCCUCCCGUUCCUCUCUUUCUCGCAACGUAGUGUCUCUCUCUCUCCCUCUCUCAUUCUCUCUCUUGUUCCCCUCUCCAAGUCGGCCUUUUCAAUGGAGCCCUUUUUAAUCCGCUGAAGCAAUCUGCGCAACCUCUUCGUCUUCGCCUCUCUCUUUCUUUCCCCAUCCGUUGCAAUCUAGACACAGGGAGAAGAUAAAGAGGACUCGAGAGAUCGUCAGAUUAACUCACCGUCUCUUUUCCUUGCCGUCAGAGAGAACCGCUGCUGAGUGGCGCUGCUCCUGAUCCUCCUUCUCACCAGAAGUCCUUUGACUGAUGGAAGAUGAAGGACUGACAUGAUUGUGACGAAUGUUCGAAGGUCGUGCAAGGGGAAAAUUUGAUUCUGUUUGUGUUUUUUGUUUUCUUAUGGUGCAAAGACACUGCAUAUGUAUUUGCUUCUAUGGAUACUCGACACAUGCACUUGGCUUUCUAUUGAACGUUGAAGCUCUUCUGAACAGUGAACACUGAUGGGAAUAUGUAAAUAUUUUAUCACUGAUGGGACUUUGUAUGUGGUUUGAUGCGCAUUUUAUCACUGAUGGGACUAUGUUUAGUAUUUUAUCA